Molecule: small nuclear RNA, 105 nt
Organism: Microtus ochrogaster (prairie vole)
Lineage: Eukaryota; Metazoa; Chordata; Mammalia; Rodentia; Cricetidae
Source: Ensembl
GCGUGGUUUGUCAGCGCAUAAACUUAAAUCAGGACAUUACAGAAAAGGUUAGCAUGGCUCCUGCUCGAGGAUGACCCACAAAUUCACAAAGCCUCCCACAUCAAA